CUACUGUACCAGAAGUCACUGUGCUAACCGUAAGGAGGCAGGUGCCUAAGGUAUGGUCGGUGAUUGGGGUGAAGUCGUAACAAGGUARCCGUAGGUGAACCUGCAGAAGGAUCA
This 114-nucleotide ribosomal RNA is filed under the name uncultured eukaryote. Its description in RNAcentral is "partial small subunit ribosomal RNA". The record is from RNAcentral.